CCUACGGGGGGCAGCAGUGAGGAAUAUUGGUCAAUGGACGAGAGUCUGAACCAGCCAAGUAGCGUGAAGGAUGACUGCCCUAUGGGUUGUAAACUUCUUUUAUAUGGGAAUAAAAUGCUCCACGUGUGGGAUUUUGUAUGUACCAUAUGAAUAAGGAUCGGCUAACUCCGUGCCAGCAGCCGCGGUAAUACGGAGGAUCCGAGCGUUAUCCGGAUUUAUUGGGUUUAAAGGGAGCGUAGGUGGAUUGUUAAGUCAGUUGUGAAAGUUUGCGGCUCAAACGUAAAAUUGCAGUUGAAACUGGCAGUCUUGAGUACAGUAGAGGUGGGCGGAAUUCGUGGUGUAGCGGUGAAAUGCUUAGAUAGCACGAAGAACUCCGAUUGCGAAGGCAGUUCACUGGACUGCAACUGACACUGAGGCUCGAAAGUGUGGGUAUCAAACAGGAUUAGAUACCCUUGUAGUC
This 460-nucleotide ribosomal RNA is filed under the name uncultured bacterium. Its description in RNAcentral is "partial 16S ribosomal RNA". It matches the Rfam family "Bacterial small subunit ribosomal RNA", at positions 338 to 795 of the family's 1533-position model. The record is from RNAcentral.